RNAcentral lists this long non-coding RNA (354 nucleotides) under Rattus norvegicus (Norway rat). RNAcentral's name for it is "long non-coding RNA NONRATT019879". Lineage: Eukaryota; Metazoa; Chordata; Mammalia; Rodentia; Muridae. The record is from RNAcentral.
CACCUCUAAAGUCCAACACCAGGCAUCUUCCACUUCUCCUCUGUCAAGUCCAAAUCAGACUAGUUCAGAACCCAGGCCUCUGCCUGCCCCUCGAAGACCAAAGGUUAACAGCAUCUUGAAUCUCUUUGGAUCGUGGUUAUUUGACGCAGCAUUUGUUCAUUGUAAACUCCAUAAUGGAAUAAACAGAGACAGCAGCAUGACUGCCAUUGCAACACAAGCUAGCAUGGAGUUUCGACGGAAGGGUUCCCAAAUGUCAACAGACACCAUGGUUUCCAAUCCUGUGUUUGAUGCAAGUGAAUUUCCUGAUAACUAUGAAGCAGGAAGAGCUGAGGCUUGUGGGACAUUAUGUAGAAU